CAGGCUUAACACAUGCAAGUCGAGGGGCAGCAUGGUCUUAGCUUGCUAAGACUGAUGGCGACCGGCGCACGGGUGAGUAACACGUAUCCAACCUGCCGUCUACUCUUGGACAGCCUUCUGAAAGGAAGAUUAAUACAAGAUGGCAUCAUGAGUCCGCAUGUUCACAUGAUUAAAGGUAUUCCGGUAGACGAUGGGGAUGCGUUCCAUUAGAUAGUAGGCGGGGUAACGGCCCACCUAGUCUUCGAUGGAUAGGGGUUCUGAGAGGAAGGUCCCCCACAUUGGAACUGAGACACGGUCCAAACUCCUACGGGAGGCAGCAGUGAGGAAUAUUGGUCAAUGGGCGAGAGCCUGAACCAGCCAAGUAGCGUGAAGGAUGACUGCCCUAUGGGUUGUAAACUUCUUUUAUAAAGGAAUAAAGUCGGGUAUGCAUACCCGUUUGCAUGUACUUUAUGAAUAAGGAUCGGCUAACUCCAUGCCAGCAGCCGCGGUAAUACGGAGGAUCCGAGCGUUAUCCGGAUUUAUUGGGUUUAAAGGGAGCGUAGAUGGAUGUUUAAGUCAGUUGUGAAAGUUUGCGGCUCAACCGUAAAAUUGCAGUUGAUACUGGAUAUCUUGAGUGCAGUUGAGGCAGGCGGAAUUCGUGGUGUAGCGGUGAAAUGCUUAGAUAUCACGAAGAACUCCGAUUGCGAAGGCAGCCUGCUAAGCUGCAACUGACAUUGAGGCUCGAAAGUGUGGGUAUCAAACAGGAUUAGAUACCCUGGUAGUCCACACGGUAAACGAUGAAUACUCGCUGUUUGCGAUAUACAGCAAGCGGCCAAGCGAAAGCGUUAAGUAUUCCACCUGGGGAGUGCGCCGGCAACGGUGAAACUCAAAGGAAUUGACGGGGGCCCGCACAAGCGGAGGAACAUGUGGUUUAAUUCGAUGAUACGCGAGGAACCUUACCCGGGCUUAAAUUGCAGAUGAAUUACGGUGAAAGCCGUAAGCCGCAAGGCAUCUGUGAAGGUGCUGCAUGGUUGUCGUCAGCUCGUGCCGUGAGGUGUCGGCUUAAGUGCCAUAACGAGCGCAACCCUUGUUGUCAGUUACUAACAGGUUCCGCUGAGGACUCUGACAAGACUGCCAUCGUAAGAUGUGAGGAAGGUGGGGAUGACGUCAAAUCAGCACGGCCCUUACGUCCGGGGCUACACACGUGUUACAAUGGGGGGUACAGAGGGCCGCUACCACGCGAGUGGAUGCCAAUCCCCAAAACCUCUCUCAGUUCGGACUGGAGUCUGCAACCCGACUCCACGAAGCUGGAUUCGCUAGUAAUCGCGCAUCAGCCACGGCGCGGUGAAUACGUUCCCGGGCCUUGUACACACCGCCCGUCAAGCCAUGGGAGCCGGGGGUACCUGAAGUGCGUAACCGCGAGGAGCGCCCUAGGGUAAAACUGGUGACUGGGGC
RNAcentral lists this ribosomal RNA (1434 nucleotides) under uncultured organism. RNAcentral describes it as "16S ribosomal RNA". It matches the Rfam family "Bacterial small subunit ribosomal RNA". The record is from RNAcentral.